CCUACGGGUGGCAGCAGUGAGGAAUAUUGCUCAAUGGACGAGAGUCUGAACCAGCCACGUAGCGUGAAGGAUGACUGCCCUCUGGGUUGUAAACUUCUUUUAUAUGGGAAUACAGUGUUCCACGUGUGGGGUUUUGUAUGUACCAUAUCAAUAAGGAUCGGCUUACUCCGUGCCAGCAGCCGCGGUAAUACGGAGGAUCCGAGCGUUAUGCGGAUUUAUUUGGUUUAAAGGGAACGUAGGUGGAUUGUUAAGUCAGUUGUGAAAGUUUGCGGCUCAACCGUAAAAGUGCAGUUGAAACUGGCAGUCUUGAGUAUAGGAGAGGUGAGCGGAAUUCGAGGUGUAGCGGUGAAAUGCUUAGAUAUCAGGAAGAACUCCGAUUGCGAAGGCAGCUCACUGGA
RNAcentral lists this ribosomal RNA (398 nucleotides) under uncultured bacterium. RNAcentral describes it as "partial 16S ribosomal RNA". It matches the Rfam family "Bacterial small subunit ribosomal RNA", at positions 338 to 733 of the family's 1533-position model. The record is from RNAcentral.